CUUGUAGUUUCUUGUACAGAGGAAGCAGGCUCAGGUUAUUUCCAGCUAUCUGAAUAGGAAAUGUAUUAAUCCAAAUGGUUAUAAGAGCAUUUGGACAUCCUGGAAGCACCUUCAGAUAACACAAUUAGUGUUGGGCUUUUGCAACAGGUUAUCCAUUUGCCCUAAUGUUGUUUUUGGG
Molecule: long non-coding RNA, 178 nt
Organism: Etheostoma cragini (Arkansas darter)
Lineage: Eukaryota; Metazoa; Chordata; Actinopteri; Perciformes; Percidae
Exons: 3
Source: RefSeq, a predicted model, not a curated record